AUAGCGUAUAUUAAAGUUGUUGCAGUUAAAAAGCUCGUAGUUGGAUUUGUGGCGUUCGCGUGCGGCCCGGCAUUCUUGUCGGUGUUUGCYAGCGUCGCCAUCCUUGGGUGGAACCAGUGUGGCAYUAAGUUGUCGUGCUGGGGAUGCCCAUCGUUUACUGUGAAAAAAUUAGAGUGUUCAAAGCAGGCUUAUGCCGUUGAAUAUAUUAGCAUGGAAUAAUAAGAUAGGACCUUGGUACUAUUUUGUUGGUUUGCGCACCAAGGUAAUGAUUAAUAGGGACAGUUGGGGGUAUUCGUAUUCCAUUGUCAGAGGUGAAAUUCUUGGAUUUUUGGAAGACGAACUACUGCGAAAGCAUUUACCAAGGA
RNAcentral lists this ribosomal RNA (365 nucleotides) under Nitzschia cf. carinospeciosa. Its description in RNAcentral is "SSU rRNA". It matches the Rfam family "Eukaryotic small subunit ribosomal RNA", at positions 596 to 975 of the family's 1831-position model. The record is from RNAcentral. Lineage: Eukaryota; Bacillariophyta; Bacillariophyceae; Bacillariales; Bacillariaceae.